Molecule: ribosomal RNA, 327 nt
Filed under: uncultured bacterium
Lineage: Bacteria
Description: bacterial SSU rRNA
Rfam family: Bacterial small subunit ribosomal RNA
Source: RNAcentral
GAUGAACGCUGGCGGCGUGCUUAACACAUGCAAGUCGAACGGAGUGCUCUCGAAAGAGGAUUCGUCCAAUUGAGAGAGUUACUUAGUGGCGGACGGGUGAGUAACGCGUGAGGAACCUGCCUCGGAGUGGGGAAUAACAGUUAGAAAUGACUGCUAAUACGGCAUAAGACCACAGUAUGGCAUCAUACAGUGGUAAGAGAGAUAUGUAUCGGAUGUAGAUGGCCUCGCGUCCUAUUAGUUAGUUGGUGAGGUAACGGCUCACCAAGACCGCGAUAGGUAGCCGACCUGAGAGGGUGAACGGCCACACUGGAACUGAGAAACGGCCAG